UACGUAGGUGGCAAGCGUUGUCCGGAAUUAUUGGGCGUAAAGCGCGCGCAGGCGGUCUUUUAAGUCUGAUGUGAAAGCCCCCGGCUCAACCGGGGAGGGUCAUUGGAAACUGGGAGACUUGAGUGCAGAAGAGGAGAGUGGAAUUCCACGUGUAGCGGUGAAAUGCGUAGAGAUGUGGAGGAACACCAGUGGCGAAGGCGACUCUCUGGUCUGUAACUGACGCUGAGGCGCGAAAGCGUGGGGAGCAAACAGGAUUAGAAACCCCCGUAGUCC
RNAcentral lists this ribosomal RNA (273 nucleotides) under uncultured bacterium. Its description in RNAcentral is "partial 16S ribosomal RNA". It matches the Rfam family "Bacterial small subunit ribosomal RNA", at positions 524 to 796 of the family's 1533-position model. The record is from RNAcentral.